Molecule: ribosomal RNA, 446 nt
Filed under: uncultured bacterium
Lineage: Bacteria
Description: partial 16S ribosomal RNA
Rfam family: Bacterial small subunit ribosomal RNA
Source: RNAcentral
CCUACGGGCGGCAGCAGUCGAGAAUCAUUCACAAUGGAGGAAACCCUGAUGGUGCGACGCCGCGUGGGGGAAUGAAGGUCUUCGGAUUGUAAACCCCUGUCAUGUGGGAGCAAAUUAAAACGAGAGUACCACAAGAUGAAGAGACGGCUAACUCGGUGCCAGCAGCCGCGGUAAUACAGAGGUCUCAAGCGUUGUUCGGAAUCACUGGGCGUAAAGCGUGCGUAGGCUGUUUCGUAAGUCGUGUGUGAAAGGCGCGGGCUCAACCCGCGGACGGCACAUGAUACUGGGAGACUAGAGUAAUGGAGGGGGAACCGGAAUUCUCGGUGUAGCAGUGAAAUGCGUAGAUAUCGCGAGGAACACUGGUGGCGAAGGCGGGUCCCUGGACAUUAACUGACGCUGAGGCACGAAGGCCAGGGGAGCGAAAAGGAUUAGAUACCCGAGUAGUC